CCUACGGGAGGCAGCAGUGGGGAAUAUUGGACAAUGGGCGGAAGCCUGAUCCAGCAACGCCGCGUGAGGGAUGACGGCCUUCGGGUUGUAAACCUCUUUCAGUAGGGACGAAGCGAAAGUGACGGUACCUACAGAAGAAGCACCGGCCAACUACGUGCCAGCAGCCGCGGUAAUACGUAGGGUGCGAGCGUUGUCCGGAAUUAUUGGGCGUAAAGGGCUCGUAGGCGGUUUGUCGCGUCGGGAGUGAAAACCCAGGGCUUAACCCUGGGCUGGCUUUCGAUACGGGCAGACUAGAGGUAUGCAGGGGAGAACGGAAUUCCUGGUGUAGCGGUGAAAUGCGCAGAUAUCAGGAGGAACACCGGUGGCGAAGGCGGUUCUCUGGGCAUUACCUGACGCUGAGGAGCGGAAGUGUGGGGAGCGAACAGGAUUAGAUACCCUGGUAGUCCACACCGUAAACGUUGGGCGCUAGGUGUGGGGUCCAUUCCACGGAUUCCGUGCCGCAGCUAACGCAUUAAGCGCCCCGCCUGGGGAGUACGGCCGCAAGGCUAAAACUCAAAUGAAUUGACGG
RNAcentral lists this ribosomal RNA (568 nucleotides) under uncultured bacterium. Its description in RNAcentral is "bacterial SSU rRNA". It matches the Rfam family "Bacterial small subunit ribosomal RNA", at positions 338 to 916 of the family's 1533-position model. The record is from RNAcentral.